UAUAUGGGAUAUACGACGUGUAUGUGACGGCCACUGCCCUAAACAUCAAAUUGACCGUGUGUUUCCACAUUCAAUGGGGCGCAGCAGAGGGAAGGAUUUUUCUCUCAGUAUCUGUGUGUCUCUCUACCUGCCAAGCUUCUUCCGCGCCUGUAUCCAUCAGUCCAUCUAUCUACGGUCCACCGAAGCAGCUAGGAACAAAGACCCAGGAGAAAUGAGAGUUCCUCCUUAGGAGAACAGGAGGAAAAGGCUAGAGAACUUGGUAACCCCCGUUCUCGCAUUCCCUUUAGGAGAAAAGAGGGUCCUUAAGAGCAUUUUGAGACUUCCCUUGUAGCUCAGUUGGUAAAG
Molecule: long non-coding RNA, 345 nt
Organism: Bos taurus (domestic cattle)
Lineage: Eukaryota; Metazoa; Chordata; Mammalia; Artiodactyla; Bovidae
Source: Ensembl